This 468-nucleotide ribosomal RNA is filed under the name uncultured bacterium. Its description in RNAcentral is "partial 16S ribosomal RNA". It matches the Rfam family "Bacterial small subunit ribosomal RNA", at positions 28 to 507 of the family's 1533-position model. The record is from RNAcentral.
GACGAACGCUGGCGGCGUGCUUAACACAUGCAAGUCGAACGGAAAGGCCCUGCUUUGUUGGGGUGCUCGAGUGGCGAACGGGUGAGUAACACGUGAGUAACCUGCCCUUUACUUUGGGAUAACUUCAGGAAACUGGGUCUAAUACCGGAUAUGAUCUCGUGCUGCAUGGUGUGGGGUGGGGAGUUUGGGCGGUUGGGGAUGGACUCGGGGCUUAUCGGCUGGUUGGUGGGGUAGUGGCUUACCAAGGCUGUGACGGGUAGCCGGCCUGCGAGGGUGACCGGCCACAUUGGGACUGAGAUACGGCCCAGACUCCUACGGGAGGCAGCAGUGGGGAAUAUUGCACAAUGGGCGGAAGCCUGAUGCAGCAACGCCGCGUGCGGGAUGACGGCCUUCGGGUUGUAAACCGCUUUCGCCUGUGACGAAGCGUGAGUGACGGUAAUGGGUAAAGAAGCACCGGCUAACUACGUG